RNAcentral lists this transfer RNA (93 nucleotides) under Streptomyces melanogenes. RNAcentral describes it as "tRNA-Ala". The record is from RNAcentral. Lineage: Bacteria; Bacillati; Actinomycetota; Actinomycetes; Kitasatosporales; Streptomycetaceae.
GGAUCUGGAUGGGUGGGUCUUGAGAAGGGGCCUUGCGGGCCCCGGUCAGGGGCGUGGUUCGGGCAGCCCCGGUUCAGGCUCCGGUUGGGGCCG